Long non-coding RNA from Hermetia illucens (black soldier fly), 742 nucleotides. RefSeq lists it as uncharacterized. The record is from RefSeq and is a predicted model, not a curated record. The transcript has 3 exons. NCBI's taxonomy places the organism in Eukaryota, Metazoa, Arthropoda, Insecta, Diptera, Stratiomyidae.
CGAGUUUACAGUCUGUGACUUAUUUAAAUUUUGCGAAUUAUUUUAUUAUAUUUGUUUAUACAGAUAAAAUAUUUUCUAUUUAGGUUAACAGUUAUCCGGACAGAUAAAAUUAAGAUUUUUAUUUUCCGUUUCAGAGUGCCUUGAUUUCGUUCACAGAAAAACCUGAAAGACCUUUGAAAUCUGGAAAAAAUUGCAAUAUUCCCUAUACUCAUCAGUUCUGGCGCUGGGUGGCAACUUCAUCCUCCUGCAUUUCUCCCAUUCCAUGCAGAUUGCUUGGAUGUCGGAAUAUUUUCGCUUUGAAACUGAUAUUAUAUCCUGCGGGUACAUGGCACCGAGAUGAAAGCCAGAAAUGUUACUAGGAACCCGUGCUAGGGAAAUGGUUUUUCGUGAGCAAAUUGCAGAAAGGACUUUCAUCGCUUAUGCUGAAUAUCCACGUAGUUUUUGGAUGACUGUAGAAAUUCAAAAGUUUAGAGUUUAUGUUUGCAGAAAAACGGAAUAUACAAGACGUGCGUCCCAAAAGGGAUGGCUCUACUACUUUUCUCCAACUAAUGAUGGAAAAAAUAAUCCAGAUUUCAUUUUCAAGGACGAGAGAUAUUUAAAUUAUUUUCACGUAUCUUUAGUUUGGGUAUUAAAUUACAGCAGAAAGCACCGGUUUUUCCGACUCUGAACAUUAGUAAUGCGCCUACAUAUUCACUAGUUCCGUAAAUAUCAUGCUUGUAAUGGAAACAUUCAUUCAUUGGAC